RNAcentral lists this ribosomal RNA (123 nucleotides) under uncultured bacterium. Its description in RNAcentral is "partial 16S ribosomal RNA". It matches the Rfam family "Bacterial small subunit ribosomal RNA", at positions 1360 to 1482 of the family's 1533-position model. The record is from RNAcentral.
CGUUGAAUACGUUCCCGGGUCUUGUACACACCGCCCGUCAAGUCACCUGAAUUGUCUUCACCCGAAGCCCGUGGCCCAACCGUAAGGAGGGAGCGGUCGAAGGUGAGGGGGGUAAGGGGGACU